UACGUAGGGUGCAAGCGGUAAUCGGAAUUACUGGGCGUAAAGCGUGCGCAGGCGGUUUUGUAAGUCUGUCGUGAAAGCCCCGGGCUCAACCUGGGAAUUGCGAUGGAGACUGCAAGGCUAGAAUCUGGCAGAGGGGGGUAGAAUUCCACGUGUAGCAGUGAAAUGCGUAGAGAUGUGGAGGAACACCGAUGGCGAAGGCAGCCCCCUGGGUCAAGAUUGACGCUCAUGCACGAAAGCGUGGGGAGCAAACAGG
RNAcentral lists this ribosomal RNA (253 nucleotides) under uncultured bacterium. Its description in RNAcentral is "partial 16S ribosomal RNA". It matches the Rfam family "Bacterial small subunit ribosomal RNA", at positions 524 to 776 of the family's 1533-position model. The record is from RNAcentral.